AUUGAACGCUGGCGGCAGGCCUAACACAUGCAAGUCGAGCGAGCGGCGGACGGGUGAGUCAUGUCUGGGAAACUGCCUGAUGGAGGGGGAUAACUACUGGAAACGGUAGCUAAUACCGCAUACCAUCAGAUGUGCCCAGAUGGGCUUAGCUAGUAGGUGGGGUAACGGCUCACCUAGGCGACGAUCCCUAGCUGGUCUGAGAGGAUGACCAGCCACACGGAAACUGAGACACGUUACAGACUCCUACGGAGGGCAGCAGUGGGGAAGAUUGAACAAUGGGCGCAAGCCUGAGGCAGCCAUGCCGCGUGUGUGAAGAAGGCCUUCGGGUUGUAAAGCACUUUCAGCGGGGAGGCGUUACCCGCAGAAGAAGCACCGGCUAACUCCGUGCCAGCAGCCGCGGUAAUUC
Molecule: ribosomal RNA, 406 nt
Filed under: uncultured bacterium
Lineage: Bacteria
Description: partial 16S ribosomal RNA
Rfam family: Bacterial small subunit ribosomal RNA
Source: RNAcentral